GAGAAAAAGAGAAAGGCCAAUGAAGAAAUACAGCAUAUAUUGCUACUGUGUGUCUCGGGCUUAUCUUAUAGCCCGUCAUAAAUGUGCCUGUUUAGGGCUGUGUUAAAUUGUUACAGAAGCGAUGCCAAGUGCUGAGCAGAUUCAUAAAUAUAAUAACAGAUUAUUAUAGCAAAGACAUUUUAUUGCAGCCCAGGAGCCAAUGAUGUCUGAUUUAUGAAGACCUAAAACACACCUACAAUUUAAAGUAGGCCCCCGGGGAAGCUCUUGGUGAGUCAUCAAGCCCAAGGCAAUUAUUGGCAGAAUUAAAUUCUGGCUAAUUUCCUUAGUGCCGGCGUGUCCAGUGCUCUCAUUAACUGCACUAGUUACUGAUGGAAACGACAUCGUCUUUCAGUGCAGGGCACUUGGCUGAAGUGGGGCCAGCCUCCUGCAAAGUGCCUGCAAGAUUGGUUUGGAGUAUUCUGAAGUGGUUUGGGGGUCCCCAGAGACUCGUAGGCAUGGUAUAGUGACUCCUGUCAGGGCUUCCUUGGCCUCAGUGGAAAGUUCUGAAGUGAGACUGUGCUAAUGCCAGGCUCGGUUGCUAAGACAGCUUGUGUGUAUUAUUAUGUGGGAAGAAGAGAUUCAGCAACACAACUCACCUCCCCUCGCGGGGAGAAGGAUGUGAAAGGGAGGGCAGGGACCCGGAGGAGAGAGAUGAAGUAAAGGAAGGACAAAAGCUGGAGAUGAGUCUGGAAAAGCCUCCAGGCACAGUCACUUCCAGGGCAGAGGAAGCUGCAGUCGAGGAUAAUUGCAAGCCAGAGAGCAUACAGUGUAUUGAGUUCAGGUGUCUUAGGAAGGUGUCAAGAAGCGAAAGGAAUGGGAGAUGAGACAAAGAUGCCAAGGUUUGCUGCAGCAAGCUGGAGGAGAGGGGACACUCGGUGGAGCAGGGUGGGGGAAAAUAAAAAAUGCCUUUGCAUUUACGGGGUGAGUGUUUACCCGCACAGCACAGGCUUUGAGAACUUUCUCUGUGACGACUUCUGCAUUUGUGACAAAAUCCCAUUGUGCUGUCGUGUUUUCUGUUUGCCAGUGUCAUGGACAAAGCAGGAUGCUUUUCAUAAGUGACACUUGAGUAGAGGAAGGAUGAUGUCUAACUUCGGUCUCUAAAUGGCUAAGAGCUUAAUGCCAUGGGACAGGGUGGAGAGCCAGGAUGCAGGAAGAUUGGACUUGAGCCAGACCGGAGAACGUGGCUGUCACAGAGAUGUGGGCAUCACACUUGUGAGGCUGAGAAGUCCCAUGAUCUGCCAUCUGCAAGCUGGAGAACAGGAAAGCUGACGGUGUAGUUCUAAUCCGAACCGGAAGGCCUGAGAACCAGGGAUGCCGACAGUGGUUUUAUUUACUUGAGAGUGAGAGCACAAGCAAGGUGAGAGGCUGAGAGUAAGAAGCAGACUCCCUGCCGAGCAUGGAGACCGACGUGGGGCUCGAUCUCAGGACCUGGGAUCGUGACCUGAGCCGAAGGCAGACACCCAAUAGACUGAGCCACCCAGGAGCGCCUCCAUUUCUUGAUGAAAGACUCAUGCCACGUCUUUAAAGGACUUCCAGAAUCACAGAAGGAGUCACUUGUGAAUCUAGGAGCAGAGGCCAGGCAUGGUGUCUCCCUCCAGAGUGCCAUCUAGUAGACCACAUGUGUAUCCAGACCCGUAGUCCUUGGGAAACAGUGGAAUGCUGGAUCCCUGUCCAUAGGCCCCAAAGACAAGUCUAAAGUGCAGUUUUUAAAGGUAUGAAUGGAACAAUUCUAAGCCCAGACCAGAACAUAAUUUAACAGGAAAGAAUAUCCAAAGGAAAAAAGACCAUCUCUUCAACAAAUGGUGUUAGGAAAAUUGGACAGCCACAUGCAGAAGAAUGAAACUGGACCAUUUCAUUACACCAUACACAAAAAUAAACUCA
Molecule: long non-coding RNA, 1920 nt
Organism: Zalophus californianus (California sea lion)
Lineage: Eukaryota; Metazoa; Chordata; Mammalia; Carnivora; Otariidae
Exons: 4
Source: RefSeq, a predicted model, not a curated record